UGGGGAAUCUUGGACAAUGGGGGCAACCCUGAUCCAGCCAUGCCGCGUGAGUGAUGAAGGCCUUAGGGUCGUAAAGCUCUUUCGCCUGUGAAGAUAAUGACGGUAGCAGGUAAAGAAACCCCGGCUAACUCCGUGCCAGCAGCCGCGGUAAUACGGAGGGGGUUAGCGUUGUUCGGAAUUACUGGGCGUAAAGCGCACGUAGGCGGACCAGAAAGUUGGGGGUGAAAUCCCGGGGGCUCAACCCCGGAACUGCCUCCAAAACUAUUGGUCUAGAGUUCGAGAGAGGUGAGUGGAAUUCCAAGUGUAGAGGUGAAAUUCGUAGAUAUUUGGAGGAACACCAGUGGCGAAGGCGGCUCACUGGCUCGAUACUGACGCUGAGGUGCGAAAGUGUGGGGAGCAAACAGGAUUAGAUACCCUGGUAGUCCACACCGUAAAACGAUGAAUGCCAGU
RNAcentral lists this ribosomal RNA (450 nucleotides) under uncultured bacterium. RNAcentral's name for it is "bacterial SSU rRNA". It matches the Rfam family "Bacterial small subunit ribosomal RNA", at positions 355 to 820 of the family's 1533-position model. The record is from RNAcentral.